RNAcentral lists this small nucleolar RNA (96 nucleotides) under Theobroma cacao (cacao). RNAcentral's name for it is "Small nucleolar RNA snoR8a". It matches the Rfam family "Small nucleolar RNA snoR8a". The record is from Rfam by way of RNAcentral. Lineage: Eukaryota; Viridiplantae; Streptophyta; Magnoliopsida; Malvales; Malvaceae.
AUGGAAUUAGUGAUGAUUAUAAAAAUAAUUCUUCGUUUUAAUUUGCUUAAUUUGGACAUGAUAAAUCUCUUAUUACAGCCAUAAAAUCUGAGCUCC